RNAcentral lists this ribosomal RNA (505 nucleotides) under uncultured bacterium. Its description in RNAcentral is "partial 16S ribosomal RNA". It matches the Rfam family "Bacterial small subunit ribosomal RNA", at positions 28 to 507 of the family's 1533-position model. The record is from RNAcentral.
GACGAACGCUGGCGGCGUGCCUAAUACAUGCAAGUAGAACGCACAGUUUAUACCGUAGCUUGCUACACCAUAGACUGUGAGUUGCGAACGGGUGAGUAACGCGUAGGUAACCUGCCUGGUAGCGGGGGAUAACUAUUGGAAACGAUAGCUAAUACCGCAUAAUAUUAAUUAUUGCAUGAUAAUUAAUUGAAAGGUGCAAUUGCACCACUACCAGAUGGACCUGCGUUGUAUUAGCUAGUAGGUGAGGUAACGGCUCACCUAGGCGACGAUACAUAGCCGACCUGAGAGGGUGAUCGGCCACACUGGGACUGAGACACGGCCCAGACUCCUACGGGAGGCAGCAGUAGGGAAUCUUCGGCAAUGGACGAAAGUCUGACCGAGCAACGCCGCGUGAGUGAAGAAGGUUUUCGGAUCGUAAAGCUCUGUUGUAAGAGAAGAACGGGUGUGAGAGUGGUAAGUUCACACUGUGACGGUAUCUUACCAGAAAGAGACGGCUAACUACGUG